This 574-nucleotide long non-coding RNA is filed under the name Elaeis guineensis (African oil palm). Its description in RNAcentral is "long non-coding RNA (EGUI_LNC008723)". The record is from RNAcentral. Lineage: Eukaryota; Viridiplantae; Streptophyta; Magnoliopsida; Arecales; Arecaceae.
GAAUUCUAAUCUUGUGUCAGGACCUACGGGCCAAGGGACAGUCUCAGGUAGACAGUUUCUAUGGAGCGUAGGCCUCCCAACCGGAUGUCCAGAUGCCUCCAAAAUAGGAAUAAAGCAGCAAAAUGAUUUGCUGCCGGAAAAACCACCAUGUGCGCCAUAAUGACAGAAAAUAAGGUACACAUACACCCAGAGUUUAUUCGUGUCUUCAGCUUGUUAGAACUCCAAGAAAUAGACUCUUCCGGCUUUGAUUGGCAAGAAUUAUAAAUCAGACAAGAGAAAGUUGAUGAUCAGCUAUCGCACAGAAUAGAGAAUGGAUGUAUCCUGUAAUUGGAAGAUGAUGGAGAGCUAGUACACUACCAUUUUUUGCUAUGGUAUCCUCAUGUUCUCAUACCGAUAGAACUUUUAAAGUCGGCAAAACAGCAAACUUUUUAAUAGCAGCAACUUAGAAAUGGAACUAAAUGAAUGGCAAACUGGAAAAGGUGGGACCAUUCUCCUGUCAAAAACCCACAAGUUCUUGAGUGAACUGAACCUUCACAAUGCUGUAGAAUCUAAUAUCUGGUGACUACAAGUUGCA